GGGGAAUAUUGGGCAAUGGGGGAAACCCUGACCCAGCAACGCCGCGUGAGGGAAGAAGGUUUUCGGAUUGUAAACCUCUGUCCUUAGGGACGAAGAAGUGACGGUACCUAAGGAGGAAGCUCCGGCUAACUACGUGCCAGCAGCCGCGGUAAUACGUAGGGAGCAAGCGUUGUCCGGAAUUACUGGGCGUAAAGGGUGCGUAGGCGGUUUUUUAAGUCAUAUGUGAAAUACCCGGGCUUAACCCGGGGGCUGCAUGUGAUACUGGAGAACUUGAGUGCAGGAGAGGAAAGUGGAAUUCCUAGUGUAGCGGUGAAAUGCGUAGAUAUUAGGAGGAACACCAGUGGCGAAGGCGACUUUCUGGACUGUAACUGACGCUGAGGCACGAAAGCGUGGGGAGCAAAC
RNAcentral lists this ribosomal RNA (402 nucleotides) under uncultured bacterium. RNAcentral describes it as "bacterial SSU rRNA". It matches the Rfam family "Bacterial small subunit ribosomal RNA", at positions 356 to 773 of the family's 1533-position model. The record is from RNAcentral.